UGUGAGCUCGAUGAGUAGGGCGGGACACGUGGUAUCCUGUCUGAAUAUGGGGGGACCAUCCUCCAAGGCUAAAUACUCCUGACUGACCGAUAGUGAACCAGUACCGUGAGGGAAAGGCGAAAAGAACCCCGGCGAGGGGAGUGAAAAAGAACCUGAAACCGUGUACGUACAAGCAGUGGGAGCCUCUUUUAUGGGGUGACUGCGUACCUUUUGUAUAAUGGGUCAGCGACUUAUAUUCUGUAGCAAGGUUAACCGAAUAGGGGAGCCGAAGGGAAACCGAGUCUUAACUGGGCGUUAAGUUGCAGGGUAUAGACCCGAAACCCGGUGAUCUAGCCAUGGGCAGGUUGAAGGUUGGGUAACACUAACUGGAGGACCGAACCGACUAAUGUUGAAAAAUUAGCGGAUGACUUGUGGCUGGGGGUGAAAGGCCAAUCAAACCGGGAGAUAGCUGGUUCUCCCCGAAAGCUAUUUAGGUAGCGCCUCGUGAAUUCAUCUCCGGGGGUAGAGCACUGUUUCGGCAAGGGGGUCAUCCCGACUUACCAACCCGAUGCAAACUGCGAAUACCGGAGAAUGUUAUCACGGGAGACACACGGCGGGUGCUAACGUCCGUCGUGAAGAGGGAAACAACCCAGACCGCCAGCUAAGGUCCCAAAGUCAUGGUUAAGUGGGAAACGAUGUGGGAAGGCCCAGACAGCCAGGAUGUUGGCUUAGAAGCAGCCAUCAUUUAAAGAAAGCGUAAUAGCUCACUGGUCGAGUCGGCCUGCGCGGAAGAUGUAACGGGGCUAAACCAUGCACCGAAGCUGCGGCAGCGACACUAUGUGUUGUUGGGUAGGGGAGCGUUCUGUAAGCCUGUGAAGGUGUACUGUGAGGUAUGCUGGAGGUAUCAGAAGUGCGAAUGCUGACAUAAGUAACGAUAAAGCGGGUGAAAAGCCCGCUCGCCGGAAGACCAAGGGUUCCUGUCCAACGUUAAUCGGGGCAGGGUGAGUCGACCCCUAAGGCGAGGCCGAAAGGCGUAGUCGAUGGGAAACAGGUUAAUAUUCCUGUACUUGGUGUUACUGCGAAGGGGGGACGGAGAAGGCUAUGUUGGCCGGGCGACGGUUGUCCCGGUUUAAGCGUGUAGGCUGGUUUUCCAGGCAAAUCCGGAAAAUCAAGGCUGAGGCGUGAUGACGAGGCACUACGGUGCUGAAGCAACAAAUGCCCUGCUUCCAGGAAAAGCCUCUAAGCAUCAGGUAACAUCAAAUCGUACCCCAAACCGACACAGGUGGUCAGGUAGAGAAUACCAAGGCGCUUGAGAGAACUCGGGUGAAGGAACUAGGCAAAAUGGUGCCGUAACUUCGGGAGAAGGCACGCUGAUAUGUAGGUGAAGCGACUUGCUCGUGGAGCUGAAAUCAGUCGAAGAUACCAGCUGGCUGCAACUGUUUAUUAAAAACACAGCACUGUGCAAACACGAAAGUGGACGUAUACGGUGUGACGCCUGCCCGGUGCCGGAAGGUUAAUUGAUGGGGUCAGCGCAAGCGAAGCUCUUGAUCGAAGCCCCGGUAAACGGCGGCCGUAACUAUAACGGUCCUAAGGUAGCGAAAUUCCUUGUCGGGUAAGUUCCGACCUGCACGAAUGGCGUAAUGAUGGCCAGGCUGUCUCCACCCGAGACUCAGUGAAAUUGAACUCGCUGUGAAGAUGCAGUGUACCCGCGGCAAGACGGAAAGACCCCGUGAACCUUUACUAUAGCUUGACACUGAACAUUGAGCCUUGAUGUGUAGGAUAGGUGGGAGGCUUUGAAGUGUGGACGCCAGUCUGCAUGGAGCCGACCUUGAAAUACCACCCUUUAAUGUUUGAUGUUCUAACGUUGACCCGUGAUCCGGGUUGCGGACAGUGUCUGGUGGGUAGUUUGACUGGGGCGGUCUCCUCCUAAAGAGUAACGGAGGAGCACGAAGGUUGGCUAAUCCUGGUCGGACAUCAGGAGGUUAGUGCAAUGGCAUAAGCCAGCUUGACUGCGAGCGUGACGGCGCGAGCAGGUGCGAAAGCAGGUCAUAGUGAUCCGGUGGUUCUGAAUGGAAGGGCCAUCGCUCAACGGAUAAAAGGUACUCCGGGGAUAACAGGCUGAUACCGCCCAAGAGUUCAUAUCGACGGCGGUGUUUGGCACCUCGAUGUCGGCUCAUCACAUCCUGGGGCUGAAGUAGGUCCCAAGGGUAUGGCUGUUCGCCAUUUAAAGUGGUACGCGAGCUGGGUUUAGAACGUCGUGAGACAGUUCGGUCCCUAUCUGCCGUGGGCGCUGGAGAACUGAGGGGGGCUGCUCCUAGUACGAGAGGACCGGAGUGGACGCAUCACUGGUGUUCGGGUUGUCAUGCCAAUGGCACUGCCCGGUAGCUAAAUGCGGAAGAGAUAAGUGCUGAAAGCAUCUAAGCACGAAACUUGCCCCGAGAUGAGUUCUCCCUGACUCCUUGAGAGUCCUGAAGGAACGUUGAAGACGACGACGUUGAUAGGCCGGGUGUGUAAGCGCAGCGAUGCGUUGAGCUAACCGGUACUAAUGAACCGUGAGGCUUAACCUU
This 2546-nucleotide ribosomal RNA is filed under the name Escherichia coli KTE112. Its description in RNAcentral is "bacterial LSU rRNA". It matches the Rfam family "Bacterial large subunit ribosomal RNA", at positions 398 to 2925 of the family's 2925-position model. Lineage: Bacteria; Pseudomonadati; Pseudomonadota; Gammaproteobacteria; Enterobacterales; Enterobacteriaceae. The record is from RNAcentral.